GAUCAUUACAGUAUUCUUUUCGCCAGCGCUUAAUUGCGCGGCGAGAAAACCUUACACACAAUGUUUUUCUGUUCUAAGAAACUUGCUUUGGUCUGGACAAUUUAUUUGUCUGGGCCAGAGGUUUUAUAAACUAAACUUCAAUAUUUAUUGAAUUUUUACUUAACUAUAAUUUUGUCAAAUUGUUGAUUUAAAUAUCAAAAAAAUCUUCAAAACUUUCAACAACGGAUCUCUUGGUUCUCGCAUCGAUGAAGAACGCAGCGAAAUGCGAUAAGUAAUAUGAAUUGCAGAUUUUCGUGAAUCAUCGAAUCUUUGAACGCACAUUGCGCCCUUUGGUAUUCCAAAGGGCAUGCCUGUUUGAGCGUCAUUUCUCUCUCAAACCUUCGGGUUUGGUAUUGAGUGAUACUCUUAGUCAGACUGAGUGUUUGCUUGAAAUGUAUCGGCAUGAGAAGUACUGGAUAGUACUGUUAUGGCUUCUUCAAUGUAUUAGGUUUAUCCAACUCGUUGAAUGGUCUAGUAGUAAGUUUCCUGGUAUUUUUGGCUCGGCCUUACAACAUACAAAACAAAAGUUUGACCUCAAAUCAGGUAGGAUUACCCGCUGAACUUAAGCAUAUCA
This 613-nucleotide unclassified non-coding RNA is filed under the name Schwanniomyces etchellsii. RNAcentral describes it as "sequence contains 18S rRNA gene, ITS1, 5.8S rRNA gene, ITS2, 28S rRNA gene". The stretch from base 211 to 364 matches the Rfam family "5.8S ribosomal RNA". The record is from RNAcentral. Lineage: Eukaryota; Fungi; Ascomycota; Pichiomycetes; Serinales; Debaryomycetaceae.